Non-coding RNA from Podarcis lilfordi (Lilford's wall lizard), 74 nucleotides. The record is from the annotation of a GenBank genome assembly. NCBI's taxonomy places the organism in Eukaryota, Metazoa, Chordata, Lepidosauria, Squamata, Lacertidae.
GAAGGGCAGUAACUCAAUGGUAGAGCAUCUGUUUUGCAUGCAGAAGGUCCCAGGUUCACUUCCUGGUGCCUUCA